AUAAGUAAUAUGUGACGUCAUUGGAAGUUUUGCAGAUAUACGUGAAAAACUGUUCAGUAAUAACGUUUUCUACUGAUAUAUAUGCCACAAUGUUGUACACUGGUAAUUCAUUAAUUGAAACUAAUGCAACACCUAAGAGGUUGUACACUAAUACCACACCGACAAUGUUGUAUACUCAUACUAUGCCAAAAAUGCUAUACACAAACGCUAUACAUUUAAGAUUGUACAAUAAUAGAAAAUCAGAGAUGUCGCAAAAGGACAUCACUUCGACCUCAUUGAUUUUUAGUGGCUCACCGAAGUCAUCCAACAGUGACGCAUCACCAGCAAAAUAAUUUACAACGAGCUCAACUUUCACCAGAACCACGCCAGCAAGAUUGAAAACCUAUGCGACACCAGUGACAAUGUGUAACAAUUGAUUGGAUUUUGAUUGAGAUAUCAAUGAAUGUUUUGGGUUGGUUGGAAAUUCCAGAAAAGAUGUCUUUGCAAUCAUUAUUUGAUUAUCUCUAAUUGUUUAACAUUCUUUUGAGUAAGAACGACACGCCUCUCCAACUUUUGUGUAAGACGAAUUAUUAUAGACGAAUGACUCUCCGUAAAUGAAGCAUCUACAUGAUGCUUAAUGAAGAAUAUAUAGAUAUAUAUAACUUUAGUGGUUUCCCAUAACCGGGAUACAGGGAGAUUUAAACUUAGAACUAAGGAAAACACAACGGUGGCGUCAUGGCUUCAGAACCGUCUCUCUAAUGUAUCAGAUGAUUUAAACAAAUACGAUUUCAAAAGAAAUUAUACAUUUCCUGAUUCUCUAUUCGUUUCCAACCAACUUACAUUUACAAAUAACUGUGGAAUUUCUAUGGAUACAACUGAUAUCUUUGAAACAAAGAUGAGAGUGUCACCUUUAUGUUCGCUUUCCAAAACAUACCCAGGGUUGGAAAAAAAAAGCAUGAAAUAUUGAUCUUUGUUAUGAAAAAAUCGUUAGAAAGACAAACACUUGGUGAUGCAACCAAUGCGUAAUGACUUGGACUGAUUUACAAAGAUAAUGUAUUCCAGAUUUGAGAUUUGCACUUCACAUUCAGCAUUGUAUGGUAGAAUAUACAGAAACUAAAGUAAAUAAUAUUGUAAAGACAUGUAAUCUAAUGUUCUGUUGUUUCUGCCAAUUUGCUGUCUUACACUGAUAUGUACUACACCUAAUAGAAAAGUAUAGCUGACACCUAUAAGAGUAGAUAACGUGACUGCUUAGUAAGCAGUCACGUUACCUGCCUUUUGUGUAUGGAUGGAUCAAAAUAUCAAUGUGCAUUUGAGGAUAUCAAAGAGGUUGAUAAUCUAUAAGCGACAGCAUUGUUUGUUCCUAUUUGCUUGGAAUCAAAGUUAUUACACAUCCUGUGUACAACAGCCCAGUCAAAAGAUCUUUUCCGUAAUGAAUGGGUAAAAAUUGGAAAUAAAAUUUGUUUUCAAACAUGAUUAAUCUAAUCAAUGAUAAUAUAAAGACAAAAUGAAAUAUGCUAUUCCAUUAUGUUUGUCAUGAAAAACAAAAACAAUUAGCAAUUUUUUUGCUUCAUCUGGUUUUUAAAAAAUUACUGAUCACAACAGAAAUCGAUGUAUAUUUUUGGUGAGGGGUGAGGGAUAAGGAAGACAGCUGAAACAUAUUCAACAUAGAAUUUACUACAAACCAUCCCUAGGUCAGUCGCAGUUGAAUGAACCUAUGAUCAAAGGCACUUCAGCUUUGUAUAUCUAGGACUUACUCUUUAAAGCUGUAAGAUGUAAUUUGAAGCAAUUUAUCAACUAUUUCAAGCAUGUCGAGCGACCAUGUAGAUGUUCUUUCGUAAACCUUCGCUCACACACGGAGACAUAAUAGAAUAUCUCAUAUUUUAGUCCGGAGAGAAGACAGUGCCCAUGAUUCUUUAUAGGGGCAACCGAAACUGAAGAGAGGGAGGAAGGUAUCCUCAAAUCGCAAGUCUGGUCCAACUUCUUGCAACAGACUGGACUCCGAUAAAGGCAUGCAAGAUGACAGAAUUUGGUGUUUAACAGAGCGAUAGAUUAAGUUCAUCAUCCAGUUAGUUCAUGGAGAAAUUUGAACUGGGCUACAUAUAUCACAAGAUUGCAACCGUUUCUCGACACGAUCAGCCAAUGAUAAUUUGUUUGAUUAAAACAACACAUUCGCGUAGUCGCCAAUACUUUCCUCGAGUGGUCCAUCAUUACAAUAUGUUUUACAACUGUCUACAGCACAAUUCAGCUGCAGCCUUGUCACUGCAGCUUUUACAGACAAAGAUUCAGCGUAACACUGUUGUCAGUCUUACUAUAAAAAAAAAGUAAAAUUUCCAUUAAAUCAUGAGAUGAUCUUAGUGAGUCAUUCGCAGAUUCAGUGAUUCAUGCGGUGAAAAUACAUACUAGGUUAUAAUAAAUUUAUUUCUCUGA
Molecule: long non-coding RNA, 2406 nt
Organism: Octopus bimaculoides (California two-spot octopus)
Lineage: Eukaryota; Metazoa; Mollusca; Cephalopoda; Octopoda; Octopodidae
Source: RefSeq, a predicted model, not a curated record